GUGAGUGCUUUGGGGUGGGGUGACUGCGUACCUUUUGUAUAAUGGGUCAGCGACUUAUAUUCUGUAGCAAGGUUAACCGAAUAGGGGAGCCGGAGGGAAACCGAGUCUUAAUUGGGCGUUAAGUUGCAGGGUAUAGACCCGAAACCCGGUGAUCUAGCCAUGGGCAGGUUGAAGGUUGGGUAACACUAACUGGAGGACCGAACCGACUAAUGUUGAAAAAUUAGCGGAUGACCUGUGGCUGGGGGUGAAAGGCCAAUCAAACCGGGAGAUAGCUGGUUCUCCCCGAAAGCUAUUUAGGUAGCGCCUCGUGAAUUCAUCUCCGGGGGUAGAGCACUGUUUCGGCUAGGGGGCCAUCCCGGCUUACCAACCCGAUGCAAACUGCGAAUACCGGAGAAUGUUAUCACGGGAGACACACGGCGGGUGCUAACGUCCGUCGUGAAGAGGGAAACAACCCAGACCGCCAGCUAAGGUCCCAAAGUCAUGGUUAAGUGGGAAACGAUGUGGGAAGGCCCAGACAGCCAGGAUGUUGGCUUAGAAGCAGCCAUCAUUUAAAGAAAGCGUAAUAGCUCACUGGUCGAGUCGGCCUGCGCGGAAGAUGUAACGGGGCUAAACCAU
Molecule: ribosomal RNA, 615 nt
Filed under: Salmonella enterica subsp. enterica serovar Kentucky
Lineage: Bacteria; Pseudomonadati; Pseudomonadota; Gammaproteobacteria; Enterobacterales; Enterobacteriaceae
Description: partial 23S ribosomal RNA
Rfam family: Bacterial large subunit ribosomal RNA
Source: RNAcentral